GUCUUUUUGAUAAUAAUUUAAAGUCUAGCCUGCCCAAUGAGGAGUUGAAUGGCCGCGGUACUUUGACCGUGCAAAGGUAGCAUAAUCAUUAGUUUUUUAAUUGAAAGCUGGUAUGAACGGCUGGACGAGAAAAUGACUGUCUCAAUUUAAUUGAAAUUAGAAUUUUAUUUAUAAGUAAAAAAGCUUAUAUGAAUUUAAAAGACGAGAAGACCCUAUAGAAUUUUAUAAUUAGGCUUUUGUUUUAUGAUUAGAAUAGGGAGUGGAGCAGGGGCUGAGUUAUUUUGUUGGGGCGACAGAAAAAUUGAUUAAACUUUUUCUCUUUAAGUUCAUUAAUUUAUGUAUAUUUGAUCCGUUUGUUACGAUUAUAAGAUUAAAUUACCUUAGGGAUAACAGCGUAAUUUUUUUUUAGAGUUCUUAUCGAAAAAAGAGUUUGCGACCUCGAUGUUGGAUUAAAAUUAACUUUUGGUGUAGGGGCUAGAAGGUUAGGUCUGUUCGACCUUUAAAAUUUUACAUGAUCUGAGU
RNAcentral lists this ribosomal RNA (522 nucleotides) under Enema pan. Its description in RNAcentral is "partial 16S ribosomal RNA". It matches the Rfam family "Bacterial large subunit ribosomal RNA", at positions 1819 to 2610 of the family's 2925-position model. Lineage: Eukaryota; Metazoa; Arthropoda; Insecta; Coleoptera; Scarabaeidae. The record is from RNAcentral.